Molecule: long non-coding RNA, 149 nt
Organism: Sander lucioperca (pikeperch)
Lineage: Eukaryota; Metazoa; Chordata; Actinopteri; Perciformes; Percidae
Exons: 3
Source: RefSeq, a predicted model, not a curated record
UGGAUGUAUUGGAGUUCAUUUAAGGCUUUUGCAGGUGAACCAUAGAGGAUGCUGCAGGGUGCAGUUGUUGAUGUGUGUGAACUGUUGUCUGUUGGUGAGAUAGGAACGGAGCCAGGAGAGUGCGGUGCAACUGAUGUUGCAGUUGGGAC